Molecule: ribosomal RNA, 269 nt
Filed under: Coccomyces dentatus
Lineage: Eukaryota; Fungi; Ascomycota; Leotiomycetes; Rhytismatales; Rhytismataceae
Description: 5.8S ribosomal RNA
Rfam family: 5.8S ribosomal RNA (bases 102-255)
About the family: 5.8S ribosomal RNA (5.8S rRNA) is a component of the large subunit of the eukaryotic ribosome. It is transcribed by RNA polymerase I as part of the 45S precursor that also contains 18S and 28S rRNA.
Source: RNAcentral
ACCCUUUGUAUACCAAACUUCGUUGCUUCGGCAUGGCCUCGCGCCGGCCGAUAGCCCCAAACCCUUGAAUCAUGAUGUCUGAGUCAAUAUUUAAUAUUUAAAACUUUCAACAACGGAUCUCUUGGUUAGGCCAUCGAUGAAGAACGCAGCGAAAUGCGAUAAGUAAUGUGAAUUGCAGAAUUCAGUGAAUCAUCGAAUCUUUGAACGCACAUUGCGCUCCCUGGUAUUCCGGGGAGCAUGCCUGUUCGAGCGUCAUUACAACCCUCACG